Molecule: microRNA precursor, 103 nt
Filed under: Marmota monax (woodchuck)
Lineage: Eukaryota; Metazoa; Chordata; Mammalia; Rodentia; Sciuridae
Source: RNAcentral
AGUGGGAUAGUUGGGUCAAAUGGUGGUUCCAUUCCAAGUCUUCUGAGAAAUCUCCAUACUGCUUUCCAGAGUGGUUGCACCAAUUUGCACACCCGCCAGCAAU